RNAcentral lists this ribosomal RNA (407 nucleotides) under uncultured bacterium. Its description in RNAcentral is "bacterial SSU rRNA". It matches the Rfam family "Bacterial small subunit ribosomal RNA", at positions 354 to 777 of the family's 1533-position model. The record is from RNAcentral.
GUCGGGAAUAUUGCGCAAUGGAGGAAACUCUGACGCAGUGACGCCGCGUAUAGGAAGAAGGUUUUCGGAUUGUAAACUAUUGUCGUUAGGGAAGAUAAAAGACUGUACCUAAGGAGGAAGCCCCGGCUAACUAUGUGCCAGCAGCCGCGGUAAUACAUAGGGGGCAAGCGUUAUCCGGAAUUAUUGGGUGUAAAGGGUGCGUAGACGGAGAAACAAGUUGGUUGUGAAAUCCCUCGGCUCAACUGAGGAACUGCAACCAAAACUAUUUCCCUUGAGUGUCGGAGAGGAAAGUGGAAUUCCUAGUGUAGCGGUGAAAUGCGUAGAUAUUAGGAGGAACACCAGUGGCGAAGGCGACUUUCUGGACGAUAACUGACGUUGAGGCACGAAAGUGUGGGGAGCAAACAGGA